UUCCCCCGGCGUGAAACCUUUAAAGACAAUAUUCAAAAUAAGGGCGGGAGGGAAAAAAGAAAAACCCCAACCAGGGGGAAUUGCCCCUCAGUUAAACGGGCGAGGUGAAGGCGGUCAAGAGCUCAAACUUUUGAAAUCUGGCGCCCUCCGGCGUCCGAGUUGUAAUUUGGAGAGGAUGCUUCGGGGUGCGGCCGCGGCCUAAGUCCCCUGGAACGGGGCGUCGCAGAGGGUGAGAAUCCCGUCUUUGGUCGCCGGUGCGCGCCCGUGUGAAGCUCCUUCGACGAGUCGAGUUGUUUGGGAAUGCAGCUCUAAAUGGGUGGUAAAUUUCAUCUAAAGCUAAAUACUGGCGGGAGACCGAUAGCGAACAAGUAGAGUGAUCGAAAGGUUAAAAGCACCUUGAAAAGGGAGUUAAACAGCACGUGAAAUUGUUGAAAGGGAAGCGCUUGCAGCCAGACUCGGGCGCGGGGGUUCAGCGGGCACGCGUGCCCGUGCACUCCCCCGCGGCCGGGCCAGCAUCGGUUCGGGCGGCCGGUCAAAGGCCCCGGGAAUGUGUCGCCCUGCGGGGCGUCUUAUAGCCCGGGGUGCAAUGCGGCCAGCCUGGACCCGAGGCACGCGCUUCGGUCUC
This 625-nucleotide ribosomal RNA is filed under the name Malbranchea cinnamomea. Its description in RNAcentral is "partial large subunit ribosomal RNA". It matches the Rfam family "Eukaryotic large subunit ribosomal RNA", at positions 1 to 609 of the family's 3401-position model. Lineage: Eukaryota; Fungi; Ascomycota; Eurotiomycetes; Onygenales; Malbrancheaceae. The record is from RNAcentral.